Molecule: ribosomal RNA, 229 nt
Filed under: uncultured bacterium
Lineage: Bacteria
Description: partial 16S ribosomal RNA
Rfam family: Bacterial small subunit ribosomal RNA
Source: RNAcentral
UGCGCAGGUGGGCUUGUAAGUCAGUGGUGAAAUCUUGCCGCUUAACGGUAAAAUUGCCAUUGAUACUGCAAGUCUUGAGUAUGGUUGAGGUAGGUGGAAUGUGUUGUGUAGCGGUGAAAUGCAUAGAUAUGACACAGAACGCCGAUUGCGAAGGCAGCUUACUAAGCCAUAACUGACGCUGAGGCACGAAAGCGUGGGGAGCGAACAGGAUUAGAUACCCUGGUAGUCC